AUUGUAAAAUUACCUCUUACGCUGUCAUCUUGGAUAACUUGAUUAACACUAGCACAGAUGCGGACUUUCUCAUUCAGAAAGAAAUUAUAGUUACACAAUUGAGCAAGGAGGACAUAGCCUGUCUCUUCAAUAGGCUUUACAGUGACACUGUAGUUGGCUAUUUCUGUUACGCGGAACUCACCAAGAAUGUGAAUGCAUAUUAUCAGGAUCGCUGGCACAGAUGGCAAACAAUUCUCAGACGUGAUUAUUUCAGCAAUCCAUGGUCAAUCUUUUCGCUUUCUGCCGCGCUCUUGAUCCUAGACUGCAGUUUUACUGCAAAGUAUGAAAUUCAUCAUCAGUUUCACCAAAAGUUGUGGAAAUCUCUUCAUCUACUUAUAAUGUCAAACCAGACUCAUUUGAUGUUGAAGCUUUAUUAUCCAGCAGAAUAGAUAGCUCCUACGCUACGUCUUCACCUACAUGAAAGAAUUCUGACGUUUUGAUACAACUCGUUAGGCAACGGAUGGCAACACCACCAAUUGUUAAGCCAAAAGAAAUUUUAGCUGAUCAUGGCGUUCGCAACAAUUAACUAUUGGCACCAGCAUACAUAGUGCAAAAUUAAAAAAUAGAAGGAGCUGAUCAUUGUUUUUUGGACUUCAUAAAGGCAGCUCUGCAGCAGGACAAGGCUGCUUCCAAAUAGAUCCUCCAUGCCAAUCAGCAUAAUAAAUUUCUGAAGUGUUUUACCCGUUGGUGUGUCGGUUGGGUGGUUCCUUACCUUGAUGUAGUUGGAUACAUAUACAUAAAUUCAUAUGCUUUGCCAUGGUGAAUUCUGAGAAAACUGUUCGAUGGUUUAACCUUUUCCUUUGCCAAAUGUC
Molecule: non-coding RNA, 851 nt
Organism: Prunus avium (sweet cherry)
Lineage: Eukaryota; Viridiplantae; Streptophyta; Magnoliopsida; Rosales; Rosaceae
Source: RefSeq, a predicted model, not a curated record